Molecule: transfer RNA, 58 nt
Filed under: Pallaseopsis kessleri
Lineage: Eukaryota; Metazoa; Arthropoda; Malacostraca; Amphipoda; Pallaseidae
Description: tRNA-Pro
Source: RNAcentral
CAAAAUUUAGUUUAUCUAAAAUAGUAGUUUUGGGUACUACAGAUUUUUUUUUUUUUGA